GACGAACGCUGGCGGCGUGCUUAACACAUGCAAGUCGAACGGAAAGGCCCUGCUUUUGUGGGGUGCUCGAGUGGCGAACGGGUGAGUAACACGUGAGUAACCUGCCCUUGACUUUGGGAUAACUUCAGGAAACUGGGGCUAAUACCGGAUAGGAGCUCCUGCUGCAUGGUGUGGGUUGGAAAGUUUCGGCGGUUGGGGAUGGACUCGCGGCUUAUCAGCUUGUUGGUGGGGUAGUGGCUUACCAAGGCUUUGACGGGUAGCCGGCCUGAGAGGGUGACCGGCCACAUUGGGACUGAGAUACGGCCCAGACUCCUACGGGAGGCAGCAGUGGGGAAUAUUGCACAAUGGGCGGAAGCCUGAUGCAGCAACGCCGCGUGCGGGAUGACGGCCUUCGGGUUGUAAACCGCUUUCGCCUGUGACGAAGAGUGAGUGACGGUAAUGGGUAAAGAAGCACCGGCUAACUACGUG
Molecule: ribosomal RNA, 468 nt
Filed under: uncultured bacterium
Lineage: Bacteria
Description: partial 16S ribosomal RNA
Rfam family: Bacterial small subunit ribosomal RNA
Source: RNAcentral